AACGCACCUUGCACCCUUUGGUAUCCCAAAGGGUACACCCGUUUGAGCGUCAUUGUAAUCUCACCAUCCAACUCUUUGUUGGCAUGCUGUGGAUUUGGAUGUUGUCAUGUCACAAUGACUCGUCUGAAAUGCCUGAGUACAUCCUGGAUUUGUGAUGUGUUCGGUGUGAUAAACUUUCACCGUCUUUGAUCCCAGCGGUCACACUCACUUGACCUAAGGCCCUGUGCUUCCAACCGUCUCAAUCAGACAAUUUGACAAUUUGACCUCAAAUCGGGUGGGACUACCCGCUGAACUUAA
Molecule: unclassified non-coding RNA, 297 nt
Filed under: uncultured fungus
Lineage: Eukaryota; Fungi
Description: partial contains 5.8S ribosomal RNA, internal transcribed spacer 2, and large subunit ribosomal RNA
Source: RNAcentral